This 404-nucleotide ribosomal RNA is filed under the name Actinomycetes bacterium. Its description in RNAcentral is "Actinobacteria bacterium partial 16S ribosomal RNA". It matches the Rfam family "Bacterial small subunit ribosomal RNA", at positions 355 to 776 of the family's 1533-position model. Lineage: Bacteria; Bacillati; Actinomycetota; Actinomycetes. The record is from RNAcentral.
UGGGGAAUUUUGGCCAAUGGGCGCAAGCCUGAUCCAGCCAUGCCGCGUGAGUGAUGAAGGCCCUAGGGUUGUAAAGCUCUUUCACCGGUGAAGAUAAUGACGGUAACCGGAGAAGAAGCCCCGGCUAACUUCGUGCCAGCAGCCGCGGUAAUACGAAGGGGGCUAGCGUUGUUCGGAUUUACUGGGCGUAAAGCGCACGUAGGCGGACUUUUAAGUCAGGGGUGAAAUCCCGGGGCUCAACCCCGGAACUGCCUUUGAUACUGGAAGUCUUGAGUAUGGUAGAGGUGAGUGGAAUUCCGAGUGUAGAGUUGAAAUUCGUAAAUAUUCGGAGGAACACCAGUGGCAAAGGCGGCUCACUGGACCAUAACUGACGCUGAGGUGCGAAAGCGUGGGGAGCAAACAGG